GCACCCGUAGCUCAGCUGGAUAGAGCGCUGCCCUCCGAAGGCGGUAGUCAAGUCCAGCGAAGGCUGUAGAUGCU
This 74-nucleotide transfer RNA is filed under the name Parvibaculum sp. RNAcentral describes it as "tRNA-Arg". Lineage: Bacteria; Pseudomonadati; Pseudomonadota; Alphaproteobacteria; Hyphomicrobiales; Parvibaculaceae. The record is from RNAcentral.